Molecule: long non-coding RNA, 2255 nt
Organism: Ostrea edulis (European flat oyster)
Lineage: Eukaryota; Metazoa; Mollusca; Bivalvia; Ostreida; Ostreidae
Exons: 3
Source: RefSeq, a predicted model, not a curated record
CGACAGUGUCUAACUAGUACAUACCGGUACACAGAUACAGGAUACACAGUUUAUUAUUAAAAGUUUGCUCGUCAUUGUCUUAUUGGUAGAAAACAUCCCGUCAUCCUCAAACAAUGAAGAGAAGAACACUGUAUGGAGCUUUCUUUCUGGCACUAGUACUCUGCUCAGCUGUAGCAAUGAUCAAUGAUGAUGACGAUGACGACAACGAUGAUGAUGAAACCAGUUGCGUUACGUCUAAUGGUGUAAAGAUUGAAGCGGGCGAGAAGUUUAUCAGCCCCUGUGUGUUUUGCUCCUGUAUUCCCGGGGAAAAGGAGGCCGUGUGUGGCGGCAUAGACUGUCCCCCAUUGGACUGUACGAAUCCUAGCCGUGUAGAAGGGAAAUGCUGCCCCGUCUGUCAAUAAGCAAAUGUCAUAUAACGAGAUUCCACGGACUCACUGGCAAAUAACCGGCGAUAUCGCACAGAGAAUUUCAGCAUUCUAUCAUUGGUGUGGGACAUCUUAACGGACUCACUGGCAAAUAACCGGCGAUAUCGUACAGAGAAUUUCAACUUUCUAUCAUUGGUGUGGGGUGUGGGACAUUUUAACGGACUCGCUGGCAAAUAACCGGCGAUAUAGUACAGAGAAUUUCAACAUUCUAUCAUUGGUGUAGGACAUUUUCUCUCUCCUUGUUUCUGGCAGAAUUGUGCUUUUAUGUAUUAAAACUACUAUAGGAUUAAACAUUCUUUUGGAAGAAUUUAUCGAUGUGUAAACUCCGGACAAAAUGCUCACACACCGAAUAAAAGUGCGAAGCACUUUUAUGUUAAGUUUGUGAGUAAAAUGUCCGGAGUUUACACAUCGAUAAAUUCUUCAAAAAGAAUGUUUGAUUCUUAUAAUUCCAAUUCAUUCACUUUAUUAACAAUUGCAAAAAUUUUAAUAGUUUCCCCGCACUAUGUUGUUUGUUUUCAGGCGUGUAUGAAUACAUCGCGUUUUUGGAUUUAUUGAUGUGUAAACUCUUGUUCAGCUUUAUUUUUGUCCAAUCAAAACAAUUGUAAUAAAUAACAUUGGAAUUAUUUAAUGUAAAAAUAAUAAUAAUAAUUUUCGAUAAAUAUAGAAUAACACAUUGGAAAUCAGAUUUCAUUAAAACAUUUUAUUUUAUUUACUAACAUACAUGUAAUUCACUUCUCCAAAUAAAACAAUACAAACUGACAAUAGCUAAUGACCGGCAUACUCCGGGCUUCCCGUACAUAAAAUACUGCGUACAAUUGUAUCUCUGUUUGACGUAGUCUGACAUAUAAUGUAUAUAUUAAACUAUGUAAUCAAGAAAUCAAGAUAUUGUAAACCAAUCACAAUGCAUGAAAUCUCGCGGGUGGAUCCAAACAUUAAUGCACUUCGCUUUUAGCUCUUUUUCUGUAACAAUUGUGCAUAUUUACUCACAAUUACCAAACAUUUUUAAUUACAUGCUUUAAAAAUACUAGUUUCCAAAUCAAAUUGCACAUUUUGAAUACUACUGUAAGUAACUAAUAAACAACAUAUGUCACAUGCACUGUAUGUAUUUAAACACAAAGUCGGAAAUUAAUGAUUUGUCAUGUAAAAUAAAAAUAUCUGCAUUGGAAACGAUGAAUUAUGAACUGUAUUAUUAGUUCCUAAAUGGAUUAGAAGCACAUCUUUGGUAUGAACUGUAUGGAAAAACAAAGUUUUUCUUAUGGUUGAUGUUGCAAACAGCUGUAAUACUGCACUUCAUGUUACAAGCCUGUGCGGUACUGGGGUUUAUAUAUGUAUAACAUAAUACAACUCGCGGUACGAAUUGAAUAAAAUCUAAAAAUUUUGAAAAUAAAGUUAAUAAUUUUUUAAAGUGUAAAACACAAGUUGUCAAAUGAUAAAGCUAUAUACACGUAUCGUACUUUGCCCUAUUGUACAUGGUUAAACAAUUAUUCACACAUCAAAACCAUUUAUAAACUGCGAAUAACAACGAUUACGUUUGAACAUUUGUACCGUUACAUGUAUGUUUUAACCACCGUCUUGUAUAAAGCGGAACUGUAACAUUUAUUUCACUGUCACUACUGGUUUCAUUGGUAUGCGCGCGCACCUGAGAUGGUGAGCUUAGAAGCGGCAAUUUGUAUACAUUUUGAUCACUCUUGGACAGGAGAUGGACGGCAUCCUCGUCUUUGUUACUAUAACAACGGAUUGUGUCACUUCGCGAGCGUCUGAUGACGUCAGGACUUGAUAAAUACAAGCCAUGCUGACAAUGAUUGUCUAGAGGUUUGAAUGUGGAUAACC